ACCUGGGAUAGCUCAAUUGCUAGAGUAUGAGACUCUUAAUUUCAGGGUCGUCGGUUCAAGAACCACAUUGGAUA
Non-coding RNA from Podarcis lilfordi (Lilford's wall lizard), 74 nucleotides. Lineage: Eukaryota; Metazoa; Chordata; Lepidosauria; Squamata; Lacertidae. The record is from the annotation of a GenBank genome assembly.